GAUGCGAUAUUAACAAAGCAAAGUGGGUAAGAAAGGUUAAAUGCUUCAGUCCAAUGAUAUAUUCAUGCAGUAAGGAAACAUUUACCAUUCAAGUUAUGGUGAUACAAAUCCUUUCGCGAACUGAGUGAGUGACACUGAGCGACGCCACGGAGCAUGACAGAUGACACAAAUAGACGUGUCACUAAUGGCUCGCUCUUUAGUGGAGAUGGAUGGUAAGCAUUAUAGGAGCUCAAAUUGAAGUAAUGCAGUGCUAAAAAGACGACGCUAGUGAAUGGUUUAACAAGGCUGCCUAUCUCCCGUUUGUUUCUCCUAUAUGAUUUUUGGUCUCCGUCUUACGCCACCACCUCUCAUAUUAAUCUUCCCAGCCUUCAAGUAAUCACUCAUCGAUCCAUGAAUGGGAUGAAAGACAACUGUGACACUCAUCUUGGUUCCAUAUCCAAGAAAGUCUAGAUCCGUGUUUCUUUAGAAACCAUCAACCGAAUUAUGACAUAUUUGUAAAGAGUAUUUUUUGUACGUGCAUUAUUGUGAAAAUGUAGUAAUGUCUUGAUUUACCUUUGAGGAUUGUAUUACACUAUCAAUAAGAAAUGAGCAUAACAUCAGAGAAUUUCAAAGCUUAAGGUUAAAGAUUUUUUUUUCUUGCAGAAAGUUGAAAAAAGAAUGAACUCUCACAGAGGGCACACAAAUUCAGUGAAACCUUGAAGCAGAAAAAAAAUGAAUUGCCCAUUGCCUCCAUGCUGCACUCUGCCCCUUUGAUCUUUGAGCUCUGCGAGGAUAAAAGCCCUUCACCCUAAAACACAGCCUGGUUUUAUAUUCGGGAUCCCACAGUUUACCUUUCCUGUUUUAUCCCCACGGCCAUUUAUCGACCGAGCCACUCUGGACGACAAACAGCUUGCUGGGAUGAGCGCUAGACUGGAAAAGAAAGCUGGUGAAUAGGUAGCCAGGCGAGGCAACCACACCAACAGGAAGGAGCGCGCGGUAUCUUCUGUGUUCAAACAAACGAUACAGUAAAUCUCGGACGCUCCCACACCUCACGGCGUGGGGAGUUUUACACCUCGCCUUUAGUGCUCAAAGCUGCGCCACGUAAUGCAUCAAGGCUUCAUUCACUUUAAGGGAAAAUUUUCGAUGAUGAGGUUGAUUCUCAGCAGACAACCUCUUAAAACUCACCGCCAAAAGAGUUUGACGUGAAGUUUACCGUCUGGCUGAAGUGUGCACGGCAGGCUGAAGGGACUGUGGCGCGAGGCGACUCGAGGCAGGAGUGGCGAUGCUGAGGGUUUAUUGUGUACCAUGACAACACGAAGGGAAGGAGUGAAUACAGUUGAGACUCAUGUCAUUCCCGCUACAGCUGAAUUUCACUAUAGUUUAUAUCAAAAUGAAACUUCUGACAGGUAAUUUUUUAGUGGUGAAUUGGAAUGGUGACUGACUCAUUAAUAUAAACAAGAUGCUUCUUUCCCACUCUCCCCAUUACAAUAACGACGGCUAACACUGAGGAGGCGAGACCUAAGAAAUUGAUAAGGAUAUGGCAGUGGCAAUGGAGGGAAUAAUGAUGAUGAUGGAGACGUAUGACUGACAAUAAUGACAGCGGCGGUGAUGAUGGCGGCUUCAUACAUCAUUACCUGACAAGCUCAGUAAUUCCCUCCUCCAAUCCUGGAGCUGGACACUCUGGGGCUUCUGCGGCGGACGUGAAGUGAGACUCUUCUCUCCAUAAGUUAGCAUUGCUUCCGCCUCGCUGGACAGCCUCGAGUGCGUACUUAUCUCCGCCAUCUGUGACGACCACCGCGAGAAAUGGCAACACAGAUAACCUAUAUUUUACUGCUGUUCCUGUUAAAGGUGACUUGUUUCAACUAGAAUUAUAUGCCCAAGUGCCAGUGUAGGUAUCAUAAAUUCCCAACAUGUUCAACAAGCAAAAUUGAUUUAUGAUUUAUACAAAAACAUAAAGCAAAGAAGAAAGAAAAGGACCAACAAAUGUAAAACCGAAAAUUUCAAGAUUAUGCAUGACAGCGGCAAAUUUCUCAAGUUUCGAGAAUAAUACCAAUGGUUAAGAAAAACUGCAGCGCCACAAUGAAUACUUCAGCGUGACACCUGGUGACGGCCACAGUUUCAUGUC
Long non-coding RNA from Portunus trituberculatus (swimming crab), 2104 nucleotides. RefSeq lists it as uncharacterized. The transcript is spliced from 3 exons. NCBI's taxonomy places the organism in Eukaryota, Metazoa, Arthropoda, Malacostraca, Decapoda, Portunidae. The record is from RefSeq and is a predicted model, not a curated record.